GUCCUCGUGGAGCAUGGCAGCUUGCUCCCUCGCAUUACAAACUCAGUCAUCUGAGAGAGUCGGUGGUUCGAUUCCACCCGAGGACA
This is a non-coding RNA of Mycena capillaripes, 86 nucleotides long. The record is from the annotation of a GenBank genome assembly. NCBI's taxonomy places the organism in Eukaryota, Fungi, Basidiomycota, Agaricomycetes, Agaricales, Mycenaceae.